This 497-nucleotide ribosomal RNA is filed under the name uncultured bacterium. RNAcentral's name for it is "partial 16S ribosomal RNA". It matches the Rfam family "Bacterial small subunit ribosomal RNA", at positions 28 to 507 of the family's 1533-position model. The record is from RNAcentral.
GAUGAACGCUGGCGGCGUGCCUAAUACAUGCAAGUCGAGCGAACAGAUGAGGAGCUUGCUCCUCUGACGUUAGCGGCGGACGGGUGAGUAACACGUGGAUAACCUACCUAUAAGACUGGGAUAACUUCGGGCAACCGGAGCUAAUACCGGAUAAUAUAUUGAACCGCAUGGUUCAAUAGUGAAAGACGGUUUUGCUGUCACUUAUAGAUGGAUCCGCGCCGCAUUAGCUAGUUGGUAAGGUAACGGCUUACCAAGGCAACGAUGCGUAGCCGACCUGAGAGGGUGAUCGGCCACACUGGAACUGAGACACGGUCCAGACUCCUACGGGAGGCAGCAGUAGGGAAUCUUCCGCAAUGGGCGAAAGCCUGACGGAGCAACGCCGCGUGAGUGAUGAAGGUCUUCGGAUCGUAAAACUCUGUUAUUAGGGAAGAACAAAUGUGUAAGUAACUAUGCACGUCUUGACGGUACCUAAUCAGAAAGCCACGGCUAACUACGUG